CCUACGGGAGACUGCAGUGGGGAAUAUUGGACAAUGGGCGAAAGCCUGAUCCAGCCAUGCCGCGUGUGUGAAGAAGGCCUUCGGGUUGUAAAGCACUUUCAGUGGGGAAGAAAGCCUUGGGGCUAAUACCCUCGAGGAAGGACAUCACCCACAGAAGAAGCACCGGCUAACUCCGUGCCAGCAGCCGCGGUAAUACGGAGGGUGCGAGCGUUAAUCGGAAUUACUGGGCGUAAAGCGCGCGUAGGCGGUCUGAUAAGCCGGUUGUGAAAGCCCCGGGCUCAACCUGGGAACGGCAUCCGGAACUGUCAGGCUAGAGUGCAGGAGAGGAAGGUAGAAUUCCCGGUGUAGCGGUGAAAUGCGUAGAGAUCGGGAGGAAUACCAGUGGCGAAGGCGGCCUUCUGGACUGACACUGACGCUGAGGUGCGAAAGCGUGGGUAGCAAACAGGAUUAGAUACCCCAGUAGUC
Molecule: ribosomal RNA, 465 nt
Filed under: Vreelandella stevensii
Lineage: Bacteria; Pseudomonadati; Pseudomonadota; Gammaproteobacteria; Oceanospirillales; Halomonadaceae
Description: partial 16S ribosomal RNA
Rfam family: Bacterial small subunit ribosomal RNA
Source: RNAcentral